AACCUCUGAUCCCAAAUUCAGUCCUCUUUCCACUCCAACAUGUUGCUGUCUGAUUCCUUCAUUUUGCAGGUGAGGCACCUGAGUGUCAGAGAGGGGAAGUGACUUGUCCAAGGUCACACAACCAGGAGGUAGAAGAAGCAGGACUCCAGCCCCAGAACUUGUGACUGUGAAGUGAAGAGUUCUUAAUCCUGAAGCAUACUACCUUGAGCUCUGGGAGCAAAGGCCCAGGCCCUCCUUGUUCUCUGAGUGGUCUCUCUUCGGCCUUCCAGGGACCCACCUGCAGCCCAGGGCUCUGGCCUGCCAUCUUUCUCUUUCCACUGGAGAAGGCGCUGAAGUGUUUGGGACCAAGUAUUAACUUAGAAGAAUCAGUACCAGCUAUACCCUGAUGCCAGCUAUUGUCGAAUAAACGUAGCGGUUCCACGGUUCUGGAAGCCA
This 435-nucleotide long non-coding RNA is filed under the name Phascolarctos cinereus (koala). RNAcentral describes it as "lncRNA (ENSPCIG00000017141.2)". Lineage: Eukaryota; Metazoa; Chordata; Mammalia; Diprotodontia; Phascolarctidae. The record is from RNAcentral.